This 738-nucleotide ribosomal RNA is filed under the name Rhizoctonia solani. RNAcentral describes it as "eukaryotic LSU rRNA". The stretch from base 283 to 436 matches the Rfam family "5.8S ribosomal RNA". Lineage: Eukaryota; Fungi; Basidiomycota; Agaricomycetes; Cantharellales; Ceratobasidiaceae. The record is from RNAcentral.
GGAAGUAAAAGUCGUAACAAGGUUUCCGUAGGUGAACCUGCGGAAGGAUCAUUAUUGAAUUAAUGUAGAGUUUGGUUGUAGCUGGCUCCUAAUUAAACUUGGGGGCAUGUGCACACCUUUCUCUUUCAUCCCAUACACACCUGUGCACCUGUGAGACAGAUGUUUUGUGGGGGGGAAGGAACUUUAUUGGACCUUCUACUCCCCCUUGACUUCUGUCUACUUAAUUCAUAUAAACUCAAUUUAUUUUAAAACGGAUGUAAUGGAUGUAACACAUCUAAUACUAAGUUUCAACAACGGAUCUCUUGGCUCUCGCAUCGAUGAAGAACGCAGCGAAAUGCGAUAAGUAAUGUGAAUUGCAGAAUUCAGUGAAUCAUCGAAUCUUUGAACGCACCUUGCGCUCCUUGGUAUUCCUUGGAGCAUGCCUGUUUGAGUAUCAUGAAAUCUUCAAAGUCAAACCUUUUGUUAAUUCAAUUGGUUCUGCUUUGGUAUUGGAGGAUUAUUGCAGCUUCACACCUGCUCCUCUUUGUGCAUUAGCUGGAUCUCAGUGUUAUGCUUGGUUCCACUCAGCGUGAUAAGUUAUCUAUCGCUGAGGACACCCUGUUAAAAAGGGGUGGCCAAGGUAAAUGCAGAUGAACCGCUUCUAAUAGUCCAUUGACUUGGACAAUAUCUAAUUUAUGAUCUGAUCUCAAAUCAGGUAGGACUACCCGCUGAACUUAAGCAUAUCAAUAAGCGGAGGAA